Molecule: unclassified non-coding RNA, 196 nt
Filed under: uncultured Sebacina
Lineage: Eukaryota; Fungi; Basidiomycota; Agaricomycetes; Sebacinales; Sebacinaceae
Description: sequence contains ITS2
Source: RNAcentral
GUACUCUCACACUUCCAAUUCUUGGAUUGGGAGCGGUGGACUUGGGUGCUGCUGCUUACUGUGGCUCACCUCAAAUGUGUUAGUGCAACCGUUGGUUAGACAUAGUACAGCGUGAUAAGUAUCUUCGCUGGCGCCUCACUAGAGGGUGGCUGAUCAGGGCUCUGUGCUUCCAAUCGUCUUCGGACAAUGGCUGACA